CUCCCCCAUGUCGAGUUGAUUGAGAUCGUUCUGUACGUUUUGCAUGCUAGGCUAACGGGUUACGUUUUUUUUUUUUUUUUUGGAAGCAGUUCGGAGAGUAAACAAGAAUGUGUUUGUUCCAUUUGCACUUGCUACAGUUGUUAUGCUUGUAAAGUAGUUACACAAAGCUGUGACUGAAAUAUUGUAUCUUCAUUUUGUACCGGGAACACCUCUGCUGACAUACUUGUGUACGACUGGAAAUUACUACUAUAAGUUUUCAGAAACUGGCACUGCUGAAGGGAAAGCAAGCCCUGAUGGGUCCUUGCACUUUCCGGAUUCACCCAUAGCCUGGAGAGCAAAACUAGCCCAAUCUGACAAACACCGCAACAUUGAGGGGAGCAAAACAACUUUCAAAAGGAUCUGGCUACACAUAUCUGGUAGUUUCCCUGUAAACGAGAGAGGGAAAAAAACUGCAGAUGCAUCCAACGCGGUGGGAAGCGCAUUUGUACUUGAUUGACACAUCUUUUGCCCAAUCCUGACAGCGAUGAUCAUAUGACAAUGGACAAGGGAAAUGUACAGUGGUGAAUUGGAUGGUGGAGAUGGAGGAGGAAAUGCACUCACUUUACGCCACUUUGCUCAGUUAAAGUGAAGCACUCAAAGUUCAUUGUGUUCACACUAUUAUUCCUUCAGCAUCAAAGAACUUUGCAUACUGCCUGCUCCUUUAAAGGUGUUCUGCAAGUAUUGCUGUGGCUGCAUAUUGCCACCAGAUCAUGUAUUUGAGAGUGUGAACUCCUGCACAUUGCACAAGCUGUUGCACGACAUCUGAUUCAGAGUAAAUAAUAUGGAUGAUGUGCUUGGCGACAGGGAACUUGACACCCAAAUAUUCCAUCAGCUACGGACAUAUCUUGCUGAUCUGAUUUACUCAUGGCUUUUGGAAGUGAGCACAGUGUUUGGAGUAUUGUACUACUGUACCUGUUGCUUAUACAGUACUGUGCAAAAGUCUUAAGUCUUCUCAUUUAGUCUCAUUUGGUCAUUUCACGUUUGGUGGUCGUUCGAGACCCAAUUUUAAAUGUUGGUCAGAUACAGCAUCUGUAUAUUUGGUGUCAGAAUCUACAGUGUGCCUUUGAAGAACAAGGAGAGUGGCUAACACUAGACUUUCUAAUACAUUAUAAAUAUAGGAUUUCAUGGGGCUGUCAUGUAGAGUUUCUUGUCAUUGCAAUCUUUAUUGUUGUGCAUAUGAAGUGGUGACCUCCAACCAAAUGACAGCAGCUCUGCUGGUGCACCACAGAGAAACUGGAAGCACAGACUUUGGAGGACAGGCAUGCUAUUCUAUGCUCCCAUGAACUGACAGGGUUUGUUACAUAAUGGGAUAUGAGAGACAAAACAAAUUUGUUAAUAACAAACU
Long non-coding RNA from Conger conger (European conger), 1384 nucleotides. RefSeq lists it as uncharacterized. The transcript has 5 exons. NCBI's taxonomy places the organism in Eukaryota, Metazoa, Chordata, Actinopteri, Anguilliformes, Congridae. The record is from RefSeq and is a predicted model, not a curated record.